GACGAACGCUGGCGGCGUGCCUAACACAUGCAAGUCGAACGGGGAGUUAUUUAUAACUCCUAGUGGCGAACGGGUGAGUAACGCGUAGACAACCUGCCUCUAAAUUGGGGACAACACCGCGAAAGUGGUGCUAAUACCGAAUGUGGUAUCUUGGUCGCAUGACCGAGAUAAGAAAGGUGGCCUCUGAAUAUGCUACCGAUUAGAGAUGGGUCUGCGUCUGAUUAGCUAGUUGGUGAGGUAAUGGCUCACCAAGGCGACGAUCAGUAGCCGGUCUGAGAGGGUGAUCGGCCACACUGGGACUGAGACACGGCCCAGACACCUACGGGUGGCUG
RNAcentral lists this ribosomal RNA (332 nucleotides) under uncultured Bacillota bacterium. RNAcentral's name for it is "bacterial SSU rRNA". It matches the Rfam family "Bacterial small subunit ribosomal RNA", at positions 28 to 351 of the family's 1533-position model. The record is from RNAcentral. Lineage: Bacteria; Bacillati; Bacillota.